Odocoileus virginianus texanus is the source of this 2798-nucleotide non-coding RNA. Lineage: Eukaryota; Metazoa; Chordata; Mammalia; Artiodactyla; Cervidae. The record is from RefSeq and is a predicted model, not a curated record.
CCAUCUCCCUUCCUCUUCCUUGGAAUGAUGUCACAAAGCAUAUGACAGAGAGUAAGAAUUUUAACCACUGCCCAGCAGUUAUGACACACACACACAUAUUGCUAGUGAAGGCCAUGUGGAGUGGAGUAAUGAGGUUCAAGAAGGCAGGAUGGUAGCAGGAGACUCAGCAGGCGGGGAGGAGGAAUCCCACCUUGACCCAGAUCUUCCUUCCUCCUCUCCCGUGUGAUAGAAGAAUGUCAUAUGGCUGGAAUCAUUCAGUAUGAAGCCUUUCCGGAAUCCCUGAGUGACCAGCUUGCAGAUCUUGGAUCAUAAGCCAGAGGUGGGGUCUGAGCUCUUGUGGUAGCAUCAUGUAGUCCAAAUGGCUGGACUAACAGACAACCUCAGACUCCUGGGCAUAUUAAUCAGAGUGAGGUCUCCUGAAGUUCUAUAUCUCAAUAUAAAGACCCAGCUUCAUCCAACUGCCUGCAAACUCCAGUGCUGGAAAUCUCUGGCCAAACAACCAAAAACAGAGCAACUAUCAAGGAUCAGAGAGAGCUUACCAAAAGGACACAGGAGUCACCUUGAUAAUCUGAGCAUCAGAAACAAAAGUAACAGGUAUAAUCUCCCCAAAAGAAAGAUAAUGGAAAUGAGGCCAUAAAAAGACAAGAUAUUCAACCCAUCACAAGAAAAGAGCACACACACAGAGGCUUGGUGACUGCAAAAGCCAACGAAGGGAGACCUGUGCUCAACGCUGAGUACGGGGCUGCAGGGGAGAGGGAGCAGAUCUGCCAUGCAGAAGCCCACAGAUUCCAGAAGUGCCCUGGGUCCAGAGGAGGGCAGGGAGUACGGAGUGGAGCUGUCACAGCAGGCUCAGCACUAGAAGUUUAAUUUCCAUCUGCCACCCUCUGUCGACACCCUUUACCUGUUUUGUACUUUUGAAGGUGCAAAAGUGAGCAGCAGAAGCAAGAACAGAGGAAAGAGGGGAGAAAAAUAUGCAGUGGCAAGCUGAUCUUGCAGCUUCAUGAAUCCUCUGGCACACCACCACCACCUCCUCAUAUCCUGGGAGAUAUACCCUGAUGAAGGCCCAAGACGAAAUCUAAACUCUGCAGAGCCACUCGACACACCUUAUGCUCAACAUCUCUUCUGUCUAUGGUAUGAACUCACCUUAGCCCUCCUACCAGAAGAUAACCCCCGUCCUUCAUCUUGCAAGGUGUGUUUCUAGAACAUCAUUCUUACAAAAGGGUAUGUAAGAGAAAGUUCGUAGUUUGGUUAGUAUGACACCCCUCUUUUAAGAAUUCUCAACACACAUAAGCGUAUUCAAGUUUCUGAAGAGCUUCACAGCACAACUGCAGCAAGAUCAACUGGGAGCCAGUGCCCCACAGAACAUACCUUGCUAAGGGUAUGGUGUCCUCCCACUCUCAUCUUUCUUCACCCUGCUCGUUUGCCUCACCGGGAAAGCCUUCCAUGUUUUCUCCAACUGGCAAACUCCUACUCACCUUUAGAAAUCUGAUUCCUAGCCACCUGGCUGGAAGUAAAUAUAUCCUCCUAGGUGUGUCUGUACCACAUUUGCAUUCAGGUACAUGUGAGAUACUCUUGAAUUUACAUGUCAGUCUCCAUAGAUAAGACUGUGAAUUAUAGAAGCAGAAAUAAUCCCUUAACCAUGUAUAGAUUCCCAGAAUCUAGCAAAGUCCACAAGAAGAUUUCAAUAAAAAAUAUGUGUUGAAUAAGCUGAUGAACAGGUAAACAACCUUCCACGGAAAUAAGACAUGUAGAAUCAUACAUUAUCUCCCUGUACUCCAGCCGGGAAAUCUCUGCUGGCAGAAAACGGAACAAUAACAAGAUUUUAAAGGAAAAUGGUCUCUAGAACAGCCCAGUCAGAAUGGGCAAAGGACCUCUGGAACUGAAUUUGUAAAGAGAACCUGAUACCAGUUGGGGCUUGUCACAGGAAUCAGUUGAGUCACUGUAUCUCUGUCCAGGGUCUUGAGAGUCCGGCUGGAAAGCCCUGGCUCUGUUUCAAAACCAGACAGACUCAAGUCUGGCUGGAAUACAAAUGUUUGCAUAUUUCAUUAUUUCUGAUAUAGAGACUUCCUUUUCACUGUAAUCUCAGGACAGUCACAUUCAAUCAGUUACACUCAAGUGGUUUAAAUAAAUUACGCCGAUUUUUUUUUCUACAAAAGAAGUUAUGGAUUCUAAAGGAGGCCGGACAUACAAAGGACUUGCAAGGCAGCUGUGACACAGCCCUGCCUCUAACCAGUGAGCAACCCUGGCCAAGAGACCACACCUUUCUAGGCAUUGAUGUCCCAACCGUUGAGUAGCUACAUUAUGAAGAUAAAGCAAAUCUUCAGUGAAUUACCAGUGUGUGCCAAGUGCUUUCUCUUAUUUAAUCCCCUCAAACCCUGUGAAGUGGACAUUAUUCUCAUUUUACACAUGAGGAAACAGAGCUUAGAAAGUAAAGCAAUUUGUUGAAGGCCACUCCAUGAGCUCACAGUAUUGGCAAGCUGGGAAGUUCAACACAUUCACAGCUAAAUCCACGGUCAAGGUGAGACCAAAGCUUUCUCCCCUCCCACCCUCCCGUGACCUCUGGCUGCUGACAGUGGUCUUCACGAGUGCUUCUCUCUGGUAUUGCAAUGUUGAUGACACACACUGCUUAUAAUUAUUCUUCUUCUUAAAAUCUUCUAACUUGACAAAUGUUUGCAUUUCACUAUUUUUUUAGUUGUCACAUCAUGUAACCCUAGCUUAUACCCAAACUUUUCAUAAAAGCCAAAAUCUCUCAUGCCAUUUGAUUCCUGAAAGGUCUCUUAAAGAAAUGGAGGUACUAG